GUCACCUAGAGCAUGGUUUGAUAGAUUCAGUAAGAUCAUGAUAUCUUUCUGGGUAUUAUCAAAGCAAUGCAGAUCAUACUCUAGUUAUGAAACACCGUAGAGGUGAUAUCACAUUGCUUAUUGUUUAUGUUGAUGAUAUAGUGAUGACAGGAGAUGGCAACGAAGAGAUUGCUCAUCUAAAGGAGCGAUUGGCUCAAGAAUUUGAGAUUAAAGACUUGGGUAGAUUAAGG
This 230-nucleotide unclassified non-coding RNA is filed under the name Hevea brasiliensis (rubber tree). The record is from RNAcentral. Lineage: Eukaryota; Viridiplantae; Streptophyta; Magnoliopsida; Malpighiales; Euphorbiaceae.